RNAcentral lists this ribosomal RNA (497 nucleotides) under uncultured bacterium. RNAcentral's name for it is "partial 16S ribosomal RNA". It matches the Rfam family "Bacterial small subunit ribosomal RNA", at positions 28 to 507 of the family's 1533-position model. The record is from RNAcentral.
GAUGAACGCUGGCGGCGUGCCUAAUACAUGCAAGUCGAGCGAACAGACGAGGAGCUUGCUCCUCUGACGUUAGCGGCGGACGGGUGAGUAACACGUGGAUAACCUACCUAUAAGACUGGGAUAACUUCGGGAAACCGGAGCUAAUACCGGAUAAUAUAUUGAACCGCAUGGUUCAAUAGUGAAAGACGGUUUUGCUGUCACUUAUAGAUGGAUCCGCGCCGCAUUAGCUAGUUGGUAAGGUAACGGCUUACCAAGGCAACGAUGCGUAGCCGACCUGAGAGGGUGAUCGGCCACACUGGAACUGAGCCACGGUCCAGACUCCUACGGGAGGCAGCAGUAGGGAAUCUUCCGCAAUGGGCGAACGCCUGACGGAGCAACGCCGCGUGAGUGAUGAAGGUCUUCGGAUCGUAAAACUCUGUUAUUAGGGAAGAACAAAUGUGUAAGUAACUAUGCACGUCUUGACGGUACCUGAUCAGAAAGCCACGGCUAACUACGUG